This 1442-nucleotide long non-coding RNA is filed under the name Dromaius novaehollandiae (emu). RNAcentral's name for it is "lncRNA (ENSDNVG00000009711.1)". Lineage: Eukaryota; Metazoa; Chordata; Aves; Casuariiformes; Dromaiidae. The record is from RNAcentral.
AUAAAUAGGUUUUUAAAUACUAAGUCUAAARUUAAAUUUAUGGAUUACUUUUUAUCCACUGAUGUUUCUUUCUGCUAGUUGUAGAAAGUAUGUAAAUGGGCAUGCAAUUUAAGGUAUGUGAAUGACUGGAUAUUUACAGCCAUUCUCUUCUGAUUGGUGGGCUGUAGAGCUAGCUGAGAUAGCGCAUAUAUCUUUUUUAGUUUUCUUCUUGUACCAUAAAAAUAAAACUGUAACAUGGUCCCUAAAAUAGUUUUUUCCUUUGGCAUACUCUAGUAACAUUGCAAGUUGGUGAUGAGAUACCAUCACAAAAUUUUGAGUGACACUACCCAUUUUUACUGACAUGCUUUUCUUUAUGUUGGGAUGGCAAUAUUUUAAAAGGGGGUAAGGGACAAUAUGAAAAUUAUUCCUAACUUCCAUACAGACACAUACAUGCACCCCUACAAAAUAAAGUUACCUACUCUUUUUCAAAGAGAAUAAGACACAUACACGUAUAAGAGUCUUUUUAAAAGUUAUGCUGGUGUUCAGUUUUAUGUCUCUUUCAGCACUGCAGAGACAGAUCGUCAGCUGCUAACUCAGCAGAACUUGGCAUGACUGAGAAUGUCAGUGGAGAAAGAAUCCUUCAAUGGCUGAGAAGAAAACUUCUGUAUUGCCAGAAAGAUGCAAAGUAACUCUUCUCAAAGGUACCAGGAGGUUUUAUGGUCAUGUAGGCACACUAGCAGAACAUACUUCUAAGAACUUUCUUGAACAGAUUUGUGAAGUCAGGAUACUGCAAAUAUCAUGUGUCAGAAUUUCAAAGACAACACCCCUCCAAAGGGAACACAAGAAGCUUUCUCUUGACAUCAAGAACAAAGUUUUCGUUUUAGCCAGUGAAGACAUACAUUCUGCUGCACAACUACGGAGCGAGGAAACUGUAUUUUGUAUCACUGGAUAAGCUUCAAAAGAAGCUGCCAAUGAAGGAUUGAGGACAUUUUUUUUGACUCUUCCAGGAAUUUCCUACAGAGAAGCAAAAGCUUUACAUUGAAUAGCUGCAGGUAGAUUCAACUUAACUGUGUUAAAAUCAACAGAACCAAAUACAAUUUUUUAGAGAGAAAUGCGUUGUGUUGUAGUAUUCUUCUGGAUGUGAGUGAAACUUUAUGAUUACAUUAACCUAAUGCCUUUUUCAUCUUUCCAAAUAGAGGGAAAACAGAUCUUCCUAGAAGUUGGAAAUUUAGGAUGUAAAGGAUGUAAAGGAGUUCCCAGAAGGGAAAGAGACAAGAUUGCAGUACUUGAUCACAACAUUUUUAAAGAACAAUUCUUCAGGAAGGCUGAUGUUAAAAGAAAACUGUUCUGCACUCCUACAACCACAUAUUUAUUUAUCACAGAAACUGGUUUCAAAAGGACUUGUAUGACAGAACCUAAAAGGAUACAUCUCUCCUAAAAUAAAUACCAUGGCCUCUUUCCCA